CUCCCACUCUACCUUUGUCAAGCACCGCGGAGAGCCUGGUUUAGGUACAUGAAGUCGAUCACGCAGCCGCACAACAGCACGAUGCAUCCAUGACGCGGCGCAAACGUAUAUGCACGCAUGCACGCACCCCCAUGCCGUGUGACCUUACAACCGGUAGCCCAUAUUUGGUAGGCGAAACUGGGUCGGAUCUGUAACUCUCUUUCUUUUGGCAACGGUAUCAAGAAAACAUGUGCUUUCAAGUCGCUUCCCUCGUUCGAUUGUAAUUGAGAAGCGUUCACUCCAAUUUCCUGCCGCAAAGAAGCCGCAUAUAUCCACACGGGAACAGCCGUGACCCAUAUUCUCACCCCAGUCGUCGUUCAACCCCCAUAACCAUUGGGCGCGAAGGCCGCGUAGGGAAAGGUGGCACUAUGCACCCUGUAAGAGAUACGUCAUUAAACGAGGUAAGCAGGUAGGCAGGGCGAGGCUAUUAAUCGGGAGCUGAAAAUGUCAAAUGGCCCGAAAUAGUCGAUCGCGAAGAGUUGCCUGUUCUCGCUAUGAGGAAAUCACGAGUACAAAGCGCAAAACCGUCCACCCUUUAGCCCGUUUCACCCUUCAGGGUGAAAUGGAUGGUACACCAACUUUUUCACGUGUUAUAUUCAGCGGCGGAUAGUCUACCCUUUGACUAGGAACACACAGGGAAGUCGCGAACCGAGAAUAGAUCGAUAUUUUGUCGGGUUAUAGCAUUUUGGGGUGGGAAAGUUCAUAGGAACACGAGAAAGUUCAGGAAUAUGGAGAAUAAUCACGCUAAACUAACUGGUUUAAAAGAGAGUUUCUUUGUGUGGAAGUACUAAUCAAUAUGUGUGUGAUUUCAAUUUAACGUAUGAUUCAUACUUGAAAAGUGGAAAAAAAAUAAAUUAUUGUCAUUAUUGUCACGAUAGGGAAAUAAUAAUGAGCUUUACAUAUCUACAUACACACACAUACACACACACACAUCUUAUUUUUGAAAUGUUAAAUAAUGACACAAGAUUAUACAGCCUUAUGCAAACAUAACUUGCAUAAAGAAUUUUAUAUAGUUUUAUCAUAUAUAUAUAUGUAUAUAUAUAUUUUUUUAUUAUAUAUUUAGUAAUAAUUUUUAUGAGUGUAGAAGAAAAAAGUAUCAAAUAAAAAAUAACAUUACCUUCAAACUCAGACUUCAUUAGAACUUCUUAAUUUAUUAUUAUUAUCAAAGCCAUCAUAAUGUAUUGUGUUUUUUUAGAUAACUAUUAUAUUAUUGAAGUAAAAAUGCAAGUAAAAUUUAAGAUUAUCAAAUUUAUUAUAAAGGAGAUUUAAUUAUAUAUAUAAAAAAAUAAGAUUAUUAUUUACAUAUAUACGCAAGAAUGUAAGUUCAAAUAAACACUAAUAGUGAAACAAUAAUUGUUAAAUAGACUGCAUUAAUUUUAAUUGCUAAUGCUUUUCCCUGCCUACACAAAUACAUACUAUAUUUUUAUGAAUAGAAUAGAAUUCUAUUUUAUUCUCUUCUAUUCUAUUUUUAUGAGUGUAGUAUUUAUACAUUCUUUUGUUGUUAUUAUCUUUAAAAUUAUUUAGUAUUUAUAUUUUUAAUUAUUCCUUUCAAAUUGUGAAUACGGUACUUUUAUUAUUUAAUUUUACAUUUUUAAUUCAAUUCGUAAAUGAUACUGCCCGAUAAAUAAACAUAGUUUUCUAUAUUAAUAUAAGAAUUUUAAUGCUAAAGCAAUUUCUAUUUUACAUUGACUGGUUAUGCCCGAAUGUGUGUGAUCACGCGGAAUUACUGCUCGUGUGAACUUGGGGGAAAGUUUUCGACGGCGAAAGAAUGAAGUAUUCAAUGAGUAAUGAAGAUAAGUGGAGUGUCCUCGCAUAUGAGACGCGCGCAUACGUUAAUUGGUCGACAGAGUUCCAUUCAUUAGAGAAGAGGAAGUCUCUAUGCGUGUUACGCAUCGCCGAGAAAUGAAUGAAUCUUAAAUGAGUUAACGGGUAGUUCUCCGAAAGAGUCUUAUAGAAAAACACUCGCUUUGCAUCUUAUCGUUUAAAAGGCACCGCUUAAGAUUCAUUUUUCCUCAUAAUUUUAUAAUAAGGUAAAUAAUAAUCGAUUUUUGUCUUUGUUUGAAUAUAGUGCAACAGAUAACUUUUUUUUUUAAUAAAGGGGGAUUAAACCUAUAGUUGGUAAUAGUAAAUUAAUAAUAUGAAUUAUAGAUUGAUAAUGUUAUAAAGUCAGACGUUUAAAGUCAAUCUUUAAAAUGCACAGAUCGUCUUUAGUGCGCUGAUAGAAUUAAAUAAACGCAAAGACGUUAUGCAAAAGAUACGAACACAAAAUUUAAAGUUAUCGCACGUAUACGGUAAUAAUGAUUUCGUAAAAAUUCUAUUAUCCAGGAAAAAAAAGAAAAAUACUGGGAGACAAAAUUGAUUAUACAAGUAAAUGUUAUUAGUACUAUUUACGUUUUAUAUUAAAUCAGUAAUAUUUAUUUCAAUCAAAAGUAGUAUAAUAUUUUCUACAAACAAGUAAUGUUUACUCGUUUAAUGUGAGGCUACUUGAAUACUAAUAACAUUUAUUUGAAUCAAAUAACCUCUUUCUAUAUGAACAAAUUUUGUUGUGAUUUUUAUUUGUCACGUAAUGAUUGAAUUACUGCUGUUCGGUAUUUCAAAUCUUACUAGCAAUCCUGAUUGUCAACAGCACAAUUUGGAAUUUUUACAUUCGAGACAUCCACAUUUAUUUUAACGUGCACUGAGAGAAAAAUGUCGAAGUAUUGAGAACCAAAUAUUUCUUGUGACGUUUUCUUCGAUAGUUAUUUGUUAUAAAAAUUUUUAUUUGAAAACGAUAUACAUUUCUGAAAUGUUCUGAAAUAUACUUUUAAAAUAUAUUUCUGUAAAAUAUACCUUGUUGUAAGGAGAUAACAUUCAGUGUGCGAAAAAAUAAUUUAUUCGCUAGAAAUAAAACAUUUAAUUCGCCCUGUUAAAAUAAAUCAUUUAUUAGAGAAAAA
Monomorium pharaonis (pharaoh ant) is the source of this 2972-nucleotide long non-coding RNA. RefSeq lists it as uncharacterized. The record is from RefSeq and is a predicted model, not a curated record. The transcript is spliced from 2 exons. Lineage: Eukaryota; Metazoa; Arthropoda; Insecta; Hymenoptera; Formicidae.